AUUGAACGCUGGCGGCAGGCCUAACACAUGCAAGUCGAGCGGAUGAAGGGAGCUUGCUCCUGGAUUCAGCGGCGGACGGGUGAGUAAUGCCUAGGAAUCUGCCUGGUAGUGGGGGUUAACGUCCGGAACCGGCCGCUAUUACCCCAUACGUCCUGAGGGAGAAAGUGGGGGUUCUUCGGACCUCACCCUAUCAGAUGAGCCUAGGUCGGAUUAGCUAGUUGGUGGGGUAAAGGCCUACCAAGGCGACGAUCCGUAACUGGUCUGAGAGGAUGAUCAGUCACACUGGAACUGAGACACGGUCCAGACUCCUACGGGAGGCAGCAGUGGGGAAUAUUGGACAAUGGGCGAAAGCCUGAUCCAGCCAUGCCGCGUGUGUGAAGAAGGUCUUCGGAUUGUAAAGCACUUUAAGUUGGGAGGAAGGGCAGUAAGUUAAUACCUUGCUGUUUUGACGUUACCAACAGAAUAAGCACCGGCUAACUUCGUG
Molecule: ribosomal RNA, 484 nt
Filed under: uncultured bacterium
Lineage: Bacteria
Description: partial 16S ribosomal RNA
Rfam family: Bacterial small subunit ribosomal RNA
Source: RNAcentral